GUAAUACUACCUUCAUCUCAAAAUACUUGUUCUAGAGAUGAAUGUAUCUAGACUUAUUUUAAUUAUAGAUACAUCCAUUAUAUGCAUUUUUAAGACAAGUAUUUCCGGACGGAGGGAGUACAAA
Hordeum vulgare subsp. vulgare (domesticated barley) is the source of this 124-nucleotide non-coding RNA. The record is from Rfam. Lineage: Eukaryota; Viridiplantae; Streptophyta; Magnoliopsida; Poales; Poaceae.